UCAGAUUAGCAACGAUUUCGAGUGACAUCUUUGAUGGAGACUAGAUACUAAACACACAGUAUUUUUCUUCGUUGAAAGGCGGGUAGUUUAUUAGUGUGCCUUGGUGAGCAUUAACCGGUUUUCUUUGCUGCAGCAGGAGUGUUCUGAGUGAAAUAGGAGUCACACCCGACAAACCUGCAAAUCGCCGCUGAUUACUGUCUACAGUGAGGCUGCAAAAAUGUUGGUUGACAUUGCUGAACUGAGGUGGGCUAAUUGCGAGGGCUUCUGAACCAACAGGACCGAGGAGGAAGAAAUAAUGUGUUCAGCUGGAACUUUGGACGUCAUCUACGAGGCUACACGGUAUCGUAAUCCAAAAGACCACAUUAUGAAUUAUUACGAAUUUCACGAAGAAAUGCACGUAAGCUCAUGGUUUUCAACUACAGUUUUAGAAACUUUAUGUUGACAUGUAAGAGGUAGAACUUCGUAUACAAGUGAGCCCACACGGCCGUAAUUUUAAAACAUUCUCGUGUUGGUUAUCGAAUCUACCAAAACAGACAAAUGCUUUCAACAAGUUAGAGUGAGAAGCAUAGCAAGGACUUUUGAGAAAGAAUGAACGUCACAUAGACGCAUUCAACCUAUUUUACACUUUUAUUGAUUUUACCAAAAGCGAUGAAAUGUUGAAAUCGAUAUUCAUAUGGUAAUGUACGGAAUAAAAUGUCCACUAACAAAAUGACUGAUGUCUGUACGGUGUCUACAAUGAAACGCCCUAAAUUUGAAGAUGUUUUAAAAAUUGGCAAAUGGUAU
Cryptotermes secundus is the source of this 783-nucleotide long non-coding RNA. RefSeq lists it as uncharacterized. The record is from RefSeq and is a predicted model, not a curated record. The transcript has 3 exons. Lineage: Eukaryota; Metazoa; Arthropoda; Insecta; Blattodea; Kalotermitidae.